AUUGAAAACGGGGGGAACUCACUCUGAGUUGAGAAGGUAAAACCUGACCCUUUGAACCUGUCGGUUAACACCGGAGUAGGGAACGUGAAAUUGUUUGAUC
This 100-nucleotide non-coding RNA is filed under the name Clostridium sp. Its description in RNAcentral is "TPP sequence". It matches the Rfam family "TPP riboswitch aptamer (THI element)". From Rfam's summary of the family: Vitamin B(1) in its active form thiamin pyrophosphate (TPP) is an essential coenzyme that is synthesised by coupling of pyrimidine and thiazole moieties in bacteria. The previously detected thiamin-regulatory element, thi box was extended, resulting in a new, highly conserved RNA secondary structure, the THI element, which is widely distributed in eubacteria and also occurs in some archaea. RNAcentral also lists the same sequence under 1 other name. The record is from RNAcentral. Lineage: Bacteria; Bacillati; Bacillota; Clostridia; Eubacteriales; Clostridiaceae.